RNAcentral lists this non-coding RNA (104 nucleotides) under Gammaproteobacteria bacterium. RNAcentral's name for it is "TPP sequence". It matches the Rfam family "TPP riboswitch aptamer (THI element)". From Rfam's summary of the family: Vitamin B(1) in its active form thiamin pyrophosphate (TPP) is an essential coenzyme that is synthesised by coupling of pyrimidine and thiazole moieties in bacteria. The previously detected thiamin-regulatory element, thi box was extended, resulting in a new, highly conserved RNA secondary structure, the THI element, which is widely distributed in eubacteria and also occurs in some archaea. Lineage: Bacteria; Pseudomonadati; Pseudomonadota; Gammaproteobacteria. The record is from RNAcentral.
AAACAAACUUAGGGGAGCCUUACCGGCUGAGAGGAUGAAAUAGUUCAUCGACCCUUGAACCUGAUACGGUUAGUACCGUUGGAGGAAAAGCAUGCUUAGAAAAA